GUCCAUGCUGUAAACGAUGAAUGCUGGUUGUCGGCUGAUUGGUCGGUGACGAAGUUAACGCGAUAAGCAUUCCGCCUGGGAGUACGGUCGCAAGAUUAAACUCAAAGGAAUUGACGGGGACCCGCACAAGCGGUGGAGCAUGUGGUUUAAUUCGAUGCAACGCGAAGAACCUUACCAACUCUUGACAUCCUUAUCGGGGAAGGAGAAAUUCCAUCUUUCAGUUAGGCUGGAUAAGUGACAGAUGCUGCAUGGCUGUCGU
RNAcentral lists this ribosomal RNA (259 nucleotides) under uncultured bacterium. Its description in RNAcentral is "partial 16S ribosomal RNA". It matches the Rfam family "Bacterial small subunit ribosomal RNA", at positions 793 to 1055 of the family's 1533-position model. The record is from RNAcentral.